GUAGGGAAUAUUGGGAAAUGGGCGAAAGCCCGACCCAGCAACGCCGCGUGUGCGAUGAAGGCCUUCGGGUUGUAAAGCACUUUUCACCGGGAAGAGGAAGGACGGUACCGGUGGAAUAAGCCUCGGCUAACUACGUGCCAGCAGCCGCGGUAAAACGUAGGAGGCGAGCGUUAUCCGGAUUUACUGGGUGUAAAGCGCGUGCAGGCGGACGGGUAAGUUGGGUGUGAAAGCUCCCGGCUCAACUGGGAGAGGUCGCUCAAGACUGCCGGUCUAGAGCGUGGUAGAGGAAGGUGGAAUUCCGGGUGUAGUGGUGAAAUGCGUAGAUAUCCGGAGGAACACCAGUGGCGAAAGCGGCCUUCUGGGCCACGACUGACGCUCAGACGCGAAAGCUAGGGUAGCAAACGGGAUUAGAAACCCGAGUAGUCC
This 426-nucleotide ribosomal RNA is filed under the name uncultured bacterium. RNAcentral's name for it is "bacterial SSU rRNA". It matches the Rfam family "Bacterial small subunit ribosomal RNA", at positions 354 to 796 of the family's 1533-position model. The record is from RNAcentral.